GAGUUUGAUCCUGGCUCAGAGCGAACGCUGGCGGCAGGCUUAACACAUGCAAGUCGAGCGGCCGUAGCAAUACGGCAGCGGCAGACGGGAGAGUAACACGUGGGAACGUGCCUAUCAGUUCGGAACAACCCAGGGAAACUUGGGCUAAUACCGGAUACGCCCUUACGGGGAAAGAUUUAUCGCUGAUAGAGCGGCCCGCGUCUGAUUAGCCUGUUGGUGAGGUAACGGCUCACCAAGGCGACGAUCAGUAGCUGGUCUGAGAGGAUGAUCAGCCUCACUGGGACUGAGACACGGCCCAGACUCCUACGGGAGGCAGCAGUGGGGAAUAUUGGACAAUGGGCGCAAGCCUGAUCCAGCCAUGCCGCGUGGAUGAUGAAGGCCCUAGGGUUGUAAAGUCCUUUCGGCGGGGAAGAUAAUGACGGUACCCGCAGAAGAAGCCCCGGCUAACUUCGUGCCAGCAGCCGCCGCGGUAAG
RNAcentral lists this ribosomal RNA (474 nucleotides) under uncultured Alphaproteobacteria bacterium. Its description in RNAcentral is "bacterial SSU rRNA". It matches the Rfam family "Bacterial small subunit ribosomal RNA", at positions 9 to 524 of the family's 1533-position model. Lineage: Bacteria; Pseudomonadati; Pseudomonadota; Alphaproteobacteria. The record is from RNAcentral.